AUUGAACGCUGGCGGCAUGCCUUACACAUGCAAGUCGAACGGCAGCACGGGGGCAACCCUGGUGGCGAGUGGCGAACGGGUGAGGUAAUGCAUCGGAACGUGCCCGGUAGUGGGGAUAGCCCGGCGAAAGCCGGAUUAAUACCGCAUACGCACUGAGGUGGAAAGCGGGGGACCUUCGGGCCUCGCGCUAUCGGAGCGGCCGAUGUCGGAUUAGCUAGUUGGUGGGGUAAAGGCCUACCAAGGCGACGAUCCGUACCUGGUCUGAGAGGACGACCAGGCACACUGGGACUGAGACACGGGCCCCAGACUCCUACGGGAGGCAGCAGUGGGGAAUUUUGGACAAUGGGCGCAUGCCUGAUCCAGCAAUGCCGCGUGUGUGAAGAAGGCCCUUCGGGUUGUAAAGCACUUUUGUCCGGAAAGAAAUCUCCUGGGUUAAUACCUCGGGGGAGUGACGGUACCGGAAGAAUAAGCACCGGCUAACUACGUGCCAGCAGCCGCGGUAAUACGUAGGGUGCGAGCGUUAAUCGGAAUUACUGGGCGUAAAGCGUGCGCAGGCGGCUAUGCAAGACAGAUGUGAAAUCCCCGGGCUCAACCUGGGAACUGCAUUUGUGACUGCAUGGCUAGAGUGCGUCAGAGGGAGGUGGAAUUCCGCGUGUAGCAGUGAAAAUGCGUAGAGAUGCGGAGGAACACCGAU
Molecule: ribosomal RNA, 694 nt
Filed under: uncultured bacterium
Lineage: Bacteria
Description: bacterial SSU rRNA
Rfam family: Bacterial small subunit ribosomal RNA
Source: RNAcentral